RNAcentral lists this ribosomal RNA (418 nucleotides) under Pseudomonas aeruginosa. Its description in RNAcentral is "bacterial SSU rRNA". It matches the Rfam family "Bacterial small subunit ribosomal RNA", at positions 38 to 456 of the family's 1533-position model. The record is from RNAcentral. Lineage: Bacteria; Pseudomonadati; Pseudomonadota; Gammaproteobacteria; Pseudomonadales; Pseudomonadaceae.
GAUCAGGCGGCGGCCUAACCAUGCAGUCGAGCGGAUGAAGGGAGCUUGCUCCUGGAUUCAGCGGCGGACGGGUGAGUAAUGCCUAGGAAUCUGCCUGGUAGUGGGGGAUAACGUCCGGAAACGGGCGCUAAUACCGCAUACGUCCUGAGGGAGAAAGUGGGGGAUCUUCGGACCUCACGCUAUCAGAUGAGCCUAGGUCGGAUUAGCUAGUUGGUGGGGUAAAGGCCUACCAAGGCGACGAUCCGUAACUGGUCUGAGAGGAUGAUCAGUCACACUGGAACUGAGACACGGUCCAGACUCCUACGGGAGGCAGCAGUGGGGAAUAUUGGACAAUGGGCGAAAGCCUGAUCCAGCCAUGCCGCGUGUGUGAAGAAGGUCUUCGGAUUGUAAAGCACUUUAAGUUGGGAGGAAGGGGGGU